RNAcentral lists this long non-coding RNA (2609 nucleotides) under Gallus gallus (chicken). RNAcentral's name for it is "lncRNA (ENSGALG00010004557.1)". Lineage: Eukaryota; Metazoa; Chordata; Aves; Galliformes; Phasianidae. The record is from RNAcentral.
CUAACCUCUGCCGGCGCACUAACUAUGUCUUCUGAUGGUGCUCCUGUCCUUGGCAAUCGCUUCCUGUUCUCCGCAGGUGCUCCUAUCCUCCACAGAUGCUCCACCUCUAUUUUCUGAAGGCACACUACAUCUAACCUCUGCUGACGCACUAACAAUGCCUUCUGACAGCACUCCUGUCCUCCGCAGGUGCUCCCUGUUCUCCUCAGGUACUCCGAUCCUCCGUAGACCCUCCACCUCAGUCCUCUGAUGUCACACUACCUCUAUCUCCGAAUCACGCUCCCAUUAUCUGCAAGCCGUCUGUGUUCUCCGCAGAUGCUCUUGUCCUCUGCAGACGCUCCACAUCUAUCCUCAGACAGCGCACUACCUCUGACCUCUGCCGGCGCACUACCUCUAUCUUCUGACAAUACUCCCAACAUCUGCAGGCACUCCUUGACCUCCGCAGAUGCUCUUGUCCUCUGCAGAUGCUCCAACUCGAUCCUCGGAUGAUGCACUACAUCUAACCUCUGCCAGCGCACUAACUCUGUCUUCUGAUGGUGCUCCUGUCCUUGGCAAUUGCUUCCUGUCCUCCGCAGAUGCUCCACUUAUAUCCUCUGAAGGCACACUGCAUCUAACCUCUGCCAGCGCACUAACUAAGCCUUCUGACAGCGCUCCCGUCCUCCGCACGUGCUCCCUGUUCUCCGCAGGUGCUCCUAUCCUCCACAGAUGCUCCACCUCUAUUUUCUGAAGGCACACAACAUAUAACCUCUGCCGGCGCACUAACUAUGCCUUCUGACAGCACUCCUGUCCUCCGCAGGUGCUCCCUGUUCUCCUCAGGUACUCCGAUCCUAGGCAGACCCUCCACCUCGAUCCUCUGAUGGCACACUACCUCUAACCUCUGCUGGCGCACUACCUCUAUCUUCUAACCACGCUCCCAUCAUCUGCAUGCCGUCUGCGUUCUCCGCAGAUGCUCUUGUCCUCUGUAGACGCUCCACCUCUAUCCUCUGAUGAUGCACUACAUCUAACCUCUGCUGGCGCACUAACUCUGUCUUCUGAUGGUGCUGCUGUCCUUGGCAAUCGCUUCCUGUUCUCCACAGGUGCUCCUAUCCUCCACAGAUGCUCCACCUAUAUCCUCUGAAGGCACACUACAUCUAACCUCUGCUGGCGCACUAACUCUGACUUCUGACAGCACUCCUGUCCUCCACAGCUGCUCCCUGUUCUCCGCAAAUGCUCCCGUCCUCCGCAGACGCUCCACCUCGAUCCUCCGACAGCGCACUACCUCUAUCUUCUGACAACACUCCCGUCAUCUGCAGGCACUCCUUGAUCUCUGUAGGUGUUCCCGUCCUCUGCCGAUGCUCCACCUAUAUCCUCUGAUGAUGCACUACAUCUAACCUCGGCCAGCGCACUAACUCUGUCUUCUGAUGGUGCUCCCAUCCUUGGCAAUCGCUUCCUCUUCUCUGCAGGUGCUCCUAUCCUCUGCAGAAGUUCUAGCUCUAUCCUCUGACAGCGCAGUACCUCUAACCUCUGCUGGUGCACUAACUAUGCAUUCCGACAGUGCUCCCAUCAUCUGCAGGUGUUCUGUGUCCUCUGCAGGUACCCCCAUCCUCCACAGGUGCUCUACCUCUAUCCUCUGAUGGCACACUACCUCUAACCUCUGCUGGCGCACUACCUCUAUCUUCUGACAACGCUGCCAUCAUCUGCCAGCGCUCUGUGUUCUCUGCAGGUGCUCCCGUCCUCCACAGAUGCUCCAUCUACAUCCUCUGAAGUCACACUACAUCUAACCUCUGCCAGCGCACUAACUAUGCCUUCUGAAAGCACUCCUGUCCUCCACGGGUGCUCCCUGUUGGUGGCAGGUGCUCCCAUCCACCGCAGACUCUCCACCUCGAUCCUCUGAUGUCACUCUGUCUCUAACCUCUGCUGGCGCACUACCUCUAUCUUCUAACCACGCUCCCAUCAUCUGCAAGCAGUCUCUGUUCCCCGCAGGUGCUCCUGUCCUCCCCAGACGCUCCACCUAGAUCCUCCGACAGCGCACUACAUCUAACCUCUGCUGGCGCACUAACUAUACCUUCUGACAGCACUCCCAUCCUCCGCACGUGCUCCCUGUUCUCCGCAAAUGCUCCCGUCCUCCCCAGACGCUCCACCUCGAUUCUCCGACAGCGCACUACCUCUAACCUCUGCCGGCGCGCUACCUCUGUCUUCUGACAACACUCCUGUCAUCUGCAGGCACUCCUUGAUCUCUGUAGGUUUUCCCGUCCUCUGCCGAUGCUCCACCUAUAUCCUCUGAUGAUGCACUACAUCUAACCUCUGCUGGUGCACUAACUACGCAUUCCGACAGUGCUCCCAUCAUCUCCAGGUGUUCUGUGUUCUCUGCAGGUACCCCCAUCCUCCACAGGUGCUCUACCUAUGUCCUCUGAAGGCACACUACCUCUAACCUCUGCCGGCGCACUAACUAUGUCUUCUGACAGCGCUCCCAUCCUCCGCAGGUGCUCCCUGUUGUCCUCAGGUGGUCCGAUACUCCGCAGACCCUCCACCUAUAUCCUCUGAUGGCACACUACCUCUAACCUCUGCUGGUGCACUAACUAUGCCUUCUGACAGCACUCCUGUCCUCCACAGGUGCUCCCUGUUGGCUGCAG